AUUGAACGCUGGCGGCAUGCCUUACACAUGCAAGUCGAACGGCAGCACGGGGGCAACCCUGGUGGCGAGUGGCGUACGGGUGAGUAAUGCAUCGGAACGUGUCCUCUUGUGGGGGAUAACCAGUCGAAAGACUGGCUAAUACCGCAUGAGCUCGAGAGAGGAAAGCGGGGGACCGCAAGGCCUCGCGCGAGAGGAGCGGCCGAUGUUCGAUUAGCUAGUUGGCGGGGUAACGGCCCACCAAGGCGACGAUCGGUAGCUGGUCUGAGAGGACGACCAGCCACACUGGGACUGAGACACGGCCCAGACUCCUACGGGAGGCAGCAGUGGGGAAUUUUGGACAAUGGGCGCAAGCCUGAUCCAGCCAUGCCGCGUGUGUGAAGAAGGCCUUCGGGUUGUAAAGCACUUUCGGGCGGAACGAAAUCGCGCGGAUGAACAAUCCGCGUGGAUGACGGUACCGCAAGAAGAAGCACCGGCUAACUACGUGCCAGCCGCCGCCGUAA
Molecule: ribosomal RNA, 500 nt
Filed under: uncultured bacterium
Lineage: Bacteria
Description: partial 16S ribosomal RNA
Rfam family: Bacterial small subunit ribosomal RNA
Source: RNAcentral